GGCAGGAUGGAGAAGUGGAAUCUCACAAGGUUCAUAUCCUUGAGAACGGCGGUUCAAAUCCGUCUCCUGCAA
Molecule: transfer RNA, 72 nt
Filed under: Caudoviricetes sp.
Lineage: Duplodnaviria; Heunggongvirae; Uroviricota; Caudoviricetes
Description: tRNA-Met
Rfam family: tRNA
About the family: Transfer RNA (tRNA) molecules are approximately 80 nucleotides in length.
Source: RNAcentral